UCUCUCUCUCCGCCUCUGUAAAAUCUAAAAGAGAAGAAAGCUUCUCAAAAACCCUAGUUGCUUCUUUACUAUUGGUGAUUCCACCCAUCCCCUAGCUAGGAACUGUAACAGCGGAACAACCAAGACUGCCCGAUCCUUGGCCGCAUCAGUCGAAUCGAGAGUGGGUACAGGUACGCCAGUGCUUUUCUUUGGCUAUCCCAGCUAUCGAGCUAGACUAAUUGACACUGCUUCACUCCCUGGUCUUUCUUUCUCUCUGAAGGCUUCAACGAGAAAAGAGGGGUUAAUCUUGGCCCAGAGAAAGUCAGGCUAGCAACGCCCAAAUAAGAUGCCAUCUCUUUCCCCGUCUCUGUAACCCAGCCGUAGCGGCAUCCCCACUUCUCAAGUUCAGAUUUCUACUAUUCUUCUAACUCUUAACUUAUUUCCUUCAUGGCCUCCCUUCAGGUUGGAUUCCACCAAAGGAUCAUAUAUCAAGGACUGGGCUAAAUGGGAGAAUCAAUUACGAGAGGUUCUAUUUGGCAAUGCUUAAUAUCUUAAUUCUAUACAGGUUCUGUUUGAGUUUGUUGUUAAACAAGUGUUGGAACAACUAAGAACUAUUGCAAAGGGUGGUUAUUUAGUGACAAGUGCUGAGAAGAGGAAAUUGGGGACCAUUGUUUUUGCUGAUGUCAGCCUUUCUGUCAGUGAAAUCCAAAGUCUUCUCAAGAAGGUGGACGUUGACAAGUUACAUGCUAUUAUUGCUUCAAAUUUGCUUUUAGAUGACAAUAACAAAAUGAAAAAUUUUGUAAAGAAUGAAGCACUUUAUACAUGUGGUUAAGCACGUUGAUUUCAACCAACACGGUACCAUUUACCUCAAGGAACCUCACUAUCUCCAUCUUAAUCCAUCAAGGCGUAUAAGAUGUAAUUUCCUCGACUUCUAAUAUAAUUUUUUGCUGUACAACAAUUUCUUAGUAUAACUAAGUUGUUAGUACUAUAGCUCAAUGUUCAGUUGCAUUUUUUCAUGUGAUAUAUUUGUCAAGAGCUCCAAUGGAAAUAUUCAACCUCUUAAGUAAACUCAAAAUUAUUAUGUAAUUGUUCAAACAUGUUUUAAAAGCAGUACUGCUAAGUUGGAUAAUGAGGUUAAUUGCAAGGUGUUGGGCAAAUUAUAAAUUCUUUUUUAAUUUUGAUGAUUCUUUUUAAAAUUAUUAUUAUUAUUCAAAGUUUCAAAUUGUCUGUUUUUAUAUUGCUUUUGUUUCUUAUUAUUAUUAUACAAUGCCUUAAUACUUUAAUUUUUAUUGCAUGUGACAGUCACAGAGAUAAAAUGGUUAUUUGUUCCAACUACACAAAGACAAAAAGAAUGCAUGUCCAUUAAAUACACAAACAAAAGGACUCUCACUAGGACCACACAAAGGAUAAGGGCAACAAAUUGGUUUACCACAGAACAAGGAAAUACAUACCUAUAUUUGCCCAAUUGAAAGCUAGAGGAAGUGGGAUAGGAGGAUCGUUGAAUUUUCUAAAAAGUACUUGAAAUGAUGUGGGAUAUGGGACAUUUGUAAUGUUAAAUAGUGUCAAUUUUUUUGCAUAUA
Molecule: long non-coding RNA, 1559 nt
Organism: Cornus florida
Lineage: Eukaryota; Viridiplantae; Streptophyta; Magnoliopsida; Cornales; Cornaceae
Exons: 5
Source: RefSeq, a predicted model, not a curated record